Molecule: ribosomal RNA, 253 nt
Filed under: uncultured bacterium
Lineage: Bacteria
Description: partial 16S ribosomal RNA
Rfam family: Bacterial small subunit ribosomal RNA
Source: RNAcentral
GACGGACCGAGCGAACGUUAUUCGGAAUCACUGGGCUUAAAGGGUGCGUAGGCGGGCUGUCAAGUCUGGGGUGAAAUCCCACGGCUCAACCGUGGAACUGCCUUAGAUACUGAUGGCCUCGAGGAAGGUAGGGGCAUGCGGAACUGUAGGUGGAGCGGUGAAAUGCGUUGAUAUCUACAGGAACUCCGGUGGCGAAAGCGGCGUGCUUGACCUUUUCUGACGCUGAGGCACGAGAGCUAGGGGAGCAAACGGG